GCCAGAUACAGCAAAAGGGUUAUUAUGCUAGGGAUUAUACUGACCAUUAGUUCUGAUUACUGGGGAGGUUUUGAAGCGCAAAGUGGCCAUGAUGAUUGGAAUCGCUUUCAGAGUUUCUUGGCUUUGUUGCCUGCUAAUUGGAGGGAUAACCUGUUCUACAUCAAGGAAAUGUAACGGAGUCAUCCUCUAGAAGCUCUACUGGUGAGAAUUGUUUUUGACAUUGGUUACUUAACAUUCUGUGUUGCUGACACUGUUUGCAUUUCUUUCUGCUUUUGUUUCGACCAGGAAGUUGCUGGUGCUCAAGCGUGAUGGAAUCAAUAAACAAUUUUAUUUUCAAAA
Molecule: long non-coding RNA, 339 nt
Filed under: Salmo salar (Atlantic salmon)
Lineage: Eukaryota; Metazoa; Chordata; Actinopteri; Salmoniformes; Salmonidae
Description: lncRNA (ENSSSAG00000115701.1)
Source: RNAcentral